This 394-nucleotide ribosomal RNA is filed under the name uncultured bacterium. Its description in RNAcentral is "bacterial SSU rRNA". It matches the Rfam family "Bacterial small subunit ribosomal RNA", at positions 32 to 434 of the family's 1533-position model. The record is from RNAcentral.
AAUCAACGCUGGCGGCGUGCCUAACACAUGCAAGUCGAACGCGAAAGGGGACUUCGGUUCCUGAGUAGAGUGGCGUACGGGUGAGUAACGCGUGGGUCAUCUGCCCUCGGGUGGGGAAUAACUAAUCGAAAGGUUAGCUAAUACCGCAUAACACAGUGAUGUCAAAGCAGCAAUGUGCCUGAGGAGGAGCCUGCGUCUGAUUAGGUAGUUGGUGGGGUAACGGCCUACCAAGCCUGCGAUCAGUAGCUGGUCUGAGAGGACGGCCAGCCACAAUGGCACUGAGACACGGGCCAUACUCCUACGGGAGGCAGCAGUGGGGAAUUUUGCGCAAUGGGCGAAAGCCUGACGCAGCAACGCCGCGUGAGGGAUGAAAUAUUUCGGUAUGUAAACCUCG